Molecule: long non-coding RNA, 619 nt
Organism: Homo sapiens (human)
Lineage: Eukaryota; Metazoa; Chordata; Mammalia; Primates; Hominidae
Source: Ensembl
CGCCCCUCGGCCUACGGGAGGGAGGGCAAGGAGGGUUCUACGGUUCCUGGGAGGACGAGAAGAGCCAAGAGCCCCGACGGCCGGCGCCGGGGAAAAGGCCCCGAGGCGGGGUCCGCAUCCCUGGAAGGGCGGCGUCCACCCUCCUGAGAGGCACGGGGCGCCCAGGGCUCGGAGGCUCAAAGCCCGCCGGCUCCUGCAGCUUCUGGGAGCCGAAGAGUGUCAGCCGGGAGGAUCCCGCACACGGCGCUUAGUUCUGGAACUGCAUACCCAGGGGAGGAUGCGGGAGCCCGAAGCCCGGGCUGACACUGAAAGUGGAUGACAUCUUAGCGCAUUUCCUAAGGGUCCCGCUUGGUUUGGCUUUACUCUGCCUCCAGGACCACUGGCUGCCCAUGAGAGACGAAGGAUGGCAUCCAAGGGGGCCGGCGUGUCUUUCUCCCGCAAGAGCUGUAGGCUGACCUCAGAUGCUGAGAAAUCCAGGGUCACAGUUACUCGGGAGGCUGAGGCAGGAGAAUCGCUUGAACCGGAGAGGCGGACGUUGCAGUGAGCCGAGGUCAAACCAGUGCACUCCAGCCUGGGCAACAGAGCGAGACUCCAUCUGAAAAAGAAACAAAAAGAAAAA